Molecule: ribosomal RNA, 253 nt
Filed under: uncultured bacterium
Lineage: Bacteria
Description: partial 16S ribosomal RNA
Rfam family: Bacterial small subunit ribosomal RNA
Source: RNAcentral
UACAGAGGGGGCAAGCGUUAUUCGGAAUUACUGGGCGUAAAGGGCGCGUAGGCGGUUCGCUAAGUUGGAUGUGAAAACUCUGGGCUCAACCCAGAGCCUGCAUCCAAAACUGGCGGGCUAGAGUUCUGGAGGGGGUAGCGGAAUUCCUGGUGUAGCGGUGAAAUGCGUAGAUAUCAGGAGGAACACCGGUGGCGAAGGCGGCUACCUGGACAGAAACUGACGCUGAGGCGCGAAAGCUAGGGGAGCAAACAGG